GGGAGAAGCUGAUUGCCUGUGAUGCUGAUCAACCCCACACCUUCCUGGGUGAGGACUGGACAUUGUGAACAACACUGUCCUUGGUCAGAAAGGAAUGAGGGACAUGACAACAGGUACAGCACAACGACCUGGAGAGUGGGAAACUGACGGGAUAUGUGGGAUCGGACAAUGAUGGGGAAAUCGUACUUCUUCCUGUCACUUCUCCAAGCUGCAGUAUCAACGGAGUGGACAAUCAACGUUCAAUUAUAUGUGACAGCACAGAGGGGUCUGUGUGC
Amblyraja radiata (thorny skate) is the source of this 275-nucleotide long non-coding RNA. RefSeq lists it as uncharacterized. The transcript is spliced from 3 exons. NCBI's taxonomy places the organism in Eukaryota, Metazoa, Chordata, Chondrichthyes, Rajiformes, Rajidae. The record is from RefSeq and is a predicted model, not a curated record.